This 367-nucleotide ribosomal RNA is filed under the name uncultured organism. Its description in RNAcentral is "bacterial LSU rRNA". It matches the Rfam family "Bacterial large subunit ribosomal RNA", at positions 2099 to 2465 of the family's 2925-position model. The record is from RNAcentral.
CUUUACUGUAGCCUGGUAUUGGGUUCGGGCUUUGACUGCGCAGGAUAGGUGGGAGACUAUGAAGCUGCCCUUGUGGGGGCAGUGGAGUCAUCAGUGAGAUACCACUCUGUCAAGGCUAGAAUUCUAACCGUCUGCCGUUAUCCGGCGACGGAACGGUAUCAGGUGGGCAGUUUGACUGGGGCGGUCGCCUCCUAAAUGGUAACGGAGGCGCGCAAAGGUUCCCUCAGGCUGGUUGGAAAUCAGCCGAAGAGUGUAAAGGCAGAAGGGAGCUUGACUGCAAGAGCAACAACCCAAGCAGGGACGAAAGUCGGCCUUAGUGAUCCGACGGCGCUGAGUGGAAGGGCCGUCGCUCAACGGAUAAAAGUUA